CUACGGGAGGCUCCAGUGGGGAAUAUUGCACAAUGGGCGCAAGCCUGAUGCAGCAACGCCGCGUGAGUGAAGAAGGCCUUCGGGUCGUAAAACUCUGUCCUAAGGGAAGAAAAAAAUGACGGUACCUUAGGAGGAAGCCCCGGCUAACUACGUGCCAGCAGCCGCGGUAAUACGUAGGGGGCAAGCGUUAUCCGGAAUCACUGGGCGUAAAGGGUGCGUAGGUGGCUAAUCAAGCCAGGAGUGAAAGGCUAUGGCUUAACCAUAGUAAGCUUUUGGAACUGAAUAGCUUGAGUGCAGGAGAGGAAAGUGGAAUUCCUAGUGUAGAGGUGAAAUUCGUAGAUAUUAGGAGGAACACCAGUGGCGAAGGCGACUUUCUGGACUGUAACUGACACUGAGGCACGAAAGCGUGGGGAGCGAACAGGAUUAGAUACCCUAGUAGUC
Molecule: ribosomal RNA, 441 nt
Filed under: uncultured bacterium
Lineage: Bacteria
Description: partial 16S ribosomal RNA
Rfam family: Bacterial small subunit ribosomal RNA
Source: RNAcentral